RNAcentral lists this long non-coding RNA (828 nucleotides) under Centruroides sculpturatus (bark scorpion). RNAcentral's name for it is "uncharacterized LOC111618574, transcript variant X2". The record is from RNAcentral. Lineage: Eukaryota; Metazoa; Arthropoda; Arachnida; Scorpiones; Buthidae.
CCAAUCAAUAUAUAUUUAUUUAUUUCAAUCACAGAUAAUAAAAUAAUAUGAAGUUAUUUCUAUACAUAAAAAUAUUUUAAAUUUUAACAACGACAGUGCGAGUGAAAGUAUUGACAGGUGUCGUGUGUUGGCUCUCAAAUGUUAACAUGUUUUGUAAGUUAUCGUUGUAAGUGUUUAUUCGUGAAAGAUAUGAAUGGCAGAAAUAUGUUGCGUGUUUAUAGGAGAUAUUUUGGAAAUUAAUCGAGCGUUGUCACUGUAAAUGUUAUCUAUUUAUAGUUAUGUUUUCUGAUGGUUUAAGUAAGAUUAAAUUGAUUCUUAUGUAUUUAAUACAAUAUAAAGAUAUCAUCUAAGCAUGAAAUAGUUAUUGUUGAGAUGAUCUACAAUGAACUGAAAAACCAGUGAUUGUAACAAGAUUCAAUCUAGGGAUGCUUUUGUGAUGUUCUAGAGACAUAAGCACUGUGCUACUGAUUCCUUUAUUACAGAGAUGGAACUAUAAAGAAAAUUCAGAAGAAGAAACGAUAUUCACCAAUAUGUCCAGUGUGUCUAAAACUGUUUUGUACUCAACAAGCCCUCAAUAUACAUAUGAACAGUCAUCGUGCUGUCAAAUUAAAAUAUCGAUGUGACAUCUGUGAUAGAACUUACACCUGCCUAACUAGUCUUUCUCGACAUAAGAAGAUUCACGAAGGUUCUUAUCGACAUGCCUGUCAUCUGUGUUCAAAAAAAUUCAUUUAUUUGUCUGCUUUACAAACACAUUUAAAAACAAAUCAUACAUAAUUGAAUAUCACAUAUAUUGAAAAAUUUUAAUAUUUAUUCAAUUUAAACUUGUAA